This 516-nucleotide ribosomal RNA is filed under the name uncultured bacterium. Its description in RNAcentral is "bacterial SSU rRNA". It matches the Rfam family "Bacterial small subunit ribosomal RNA", at positions 8 to 526 of the family's 1533-position model. The record is from RNAcentral.
AGAGUUUGAUCCUGGCUCAGAACGAACGCUGGCGGCGUGCUUAACACAUGCAAGUCGAGUGCGCGCCUGUAGCAAUACAGGUGGCGCACGGCGCACGGGUGCGUAACACGUGGGUAAUCUGCCCUCUGAUGGGGAAUAACUCGCCGAAAGGCGAGCUAAUUCCGCAUAACAUUCCGGGAACCUUGGUUCUUGGACUCAAAGGCGUAAGUCGUCGGAGGAGGAGCCCGCGCACGAUUAGCUAGUUGGUGAGGUAAUGGCUCACCAAGGCUAUGAUCGUUAGCUGGUCUGAGAGGAUGGCCAGCCACACUGGAACUGAGACACGGUCCAGACUCCUACGGGAGGCAGCAGUGGGGAAUCUUGCACAAUGGGCGAAAGCCUGAUGCAGCGACGCCGCGUGGGGGAUGAAGCUUCUCGGAGUGUAAACCACUGUCGGGAGGGACGAAUACGCCGCAAGGCGGGUGACGGUACCUCCAAAGGAAGCACCGGCUAACUCCGUGCCAGCAGCCGCGGUAAUAC